UUUAUCUUCUAAACAAAUUAUUUCCUAGUCCAACAUCGAGGUCACAAACUCACUAUGAAUAAUGCUGUUAUCCCUAGAGUAAUUUAUUCUCUCAACUUAAUAGUAUCAUGUAUGUGAUAGUAAGUUAUUUGUUACUAUGUCGCCCCAACAAAAUAAUUAUAUGGAUUUAUAUAUAAAAUUUCUAGGGUCUUCUCGUCUUUCUUCUUACUACGAGACUUUUCACUCACUAAGUAAUUUCUAUAGUCUUAUUUGAGAGAGUAAAUUCCCAGAUUCCCAUUCAUACUAGACUUCAAUUAUAAGCCAAUUGAUUAU
Molecule: ribosomal RNA, 312 nt
Filed under: Trochulus sp. St 8
Lineage: Eukaryota; Metazoa; Mollusca; Gastropoda; Stylommatophora; Hygromiidae
Description: partial large subunit ribosomal RNA
Source: RNAcentral